UGAGCAACCUGCCCUGAGAGGGGGACGAACAAGUUGGAAACGACUGCUAAUACCGCAUGAUGUGUCGGGAGGGCAUCCUCUUGACACCAAAGAUUUAUCGCCUUGGGAUGGGCUCAUGUCUGAUUAGCUAGUUGGUGGGGUAACGGCCUACCAAGGCUGCGAUCAGUAGCCGGACUGAGAGGUUGAACGGCCACAUUGGGACUGAGAUACGGCCCAGACUCCUACGGGAGGCAGCAGUGGGGAAUAUUGGGCAAUGGGCGAAAAACGCCUGACCCAGCAACGCCGCGUGAAGGAAGAAGGCCUUCGGGUUGUAAACUUCUUUUAUGGAGGGACGAAGGACGUGACGGUACCUCAUGAAUAAGCCACGGCUAACUACGUGCCAGCCGCUGC
Molecule: ribosomal RNA, 390 nt
Filed under: uncultured bacterium
Lineage: Bacteria
Description: bacterial SSU rRNA
Rfam family: Bacterial small subunit ribosomal RNA
Source: RNAcentral